GACGAACGCUGGCGGCGUGCCUAAUACAUGCAAGUAGAACGCUGAAGGAGGAGCUUGCUUCUCUGGAUGAGUUGCGAACGGGUGAGUAACGCGUAGGUAACCUGCCUGGUAGCGGGGGAUAACUAUUGGAAACGAUAGCUAAUACCGCAUAAGAGUAGAUGUUGCAUGACAUUUGCUUAAAAGGUGCAAUUGCAUCACUACCAGGUGGACCUGCGUUGUAUUAGCUAGUUGGUGGGGUAACGGCUCACCAAGGCGACGAUACAUAGCCGACCUGAGAGGGUGAUCGGCCACACUGGGACUGAGACACGGCCCAGACUCCUACGGGAGGCAGCAGUAGGGAAUCUUCGGCAAUGGACGGAAGUCUGACCGAGCAACGCCGCGUGAGUGAAGAAGGUUUUCGGAUCGUAAAGCUCUGUUGUAAGAGAAGAACAAGUGUGAGAGUGGAAAGUUCACACUGUGACGGUAUCUUACCAGAAAAGGGACGGCUAACUACGUGCCAGCAGCCGCGGUAAUACGUAGGGUGGCAAGCGUUAUCCGGAUUUAUUGGGCGUAAAGAGAGUGCAGGCGGUUUUCUAAGUCUUAUGUGAAAACCCUUCGGUUUAACCGGAGAGGGGCAUCGGAGACUGGGAUGACAUGAUGCACACCACGGUAGGGGGGCUCCAGGUGUAUGGGUGAAAUGCUUC
This 683-nucleotide ribosomal RNA is filed under the name uncultured Streptococcus sp. RNAcentral's name for it is "bacterial SSU rRNA". It matches the Rfam family "Bacterial small subunit ribosomal RNA", at positions 28 to 692 of the family's 1533-position model. The record is from RNAcentral. Lineage: Bacteria; Bacillati; Bacillota; Bacilli; Lactobacillales; Streptococcaceae.